RNAcentral lists this ribosomal RNA (497 nucleotides) under uncultured bacterium. RNAcentral describes it as "partial 16S ribosomal RNA". It matches the Rfam family "Bacterial small subunit ribosomal RNA", at positions 28 to 507 of the family's 1533-position model. The record is from RNAcentral.
GAUGAACGCUGGCGGCGUGCCUAAUACAUGCAAGUCGAGCGAACAGACGAGGAGCUUGCUCCUCUGACGUUAGCGGCGGACGGGUGAGUAACACGUGGAUAACCUACCUAUAAGACUGGGAUAACUUCGGGAAACCGGAGCUAAUACCGGAUAAUAUAUUGAACCGCAUGGUUCAAUAGUGAAAGACGGUUUUGCUGUCACUUAUAGAUGGAUCCGCGCCGCAUUAGCUAGUUGGUAAGGUAACGGCUUACCAAGGCAACGAUGCGUAGCCGACCUGAGAGGGUGAUCGGCCACACUGGAACUGAGACACGGUCCAGACUCCUACGGGAGGCAGCAGUAGGGAAUCUGCCGCAAUGGGCGAAAGCCUGACGGGGCAACGCCGCGUGAGUGAUGAAGGUCUUCGGAUCGUAAAACUCUGUUAUUAGGGAAGAACAAAUGUGUAAGUAACUAUGCACGUCUUGACGGUACCUAAUCAGAAAGCCACGGCUAACUACGUG